Molecule: non-coding RNA, 764 nt
Organism: Pelobates cultripes (western spadefoot toad)
Lineage: Eukaryota; Metazoa; Chordata; Amphibia; Anura; Pelobatidae
Source: the annotation of a GenBank genome assembly
AAUGAUAUUAAUCGCCAAUUGUGAGUAAGUUUCAAUAAUUUUUAAAUAUAAAUAUUAAUUUGGGAGUCAUCAAAGUGUCUCAUAGAUGUUAACUGCUACUAAUCAUGUCAAUUUAUGAUCUAACAUCAUUAUUAACUCUUGUUUUCACUUGUAACAUGAUUAGAUUAUUGUCAUGUGUUCUGUGUACAUUGUAGAAAAAACAAAAAUCAUAAAUAAUUAUUCAAAAAAUAGAGAUGACAAUAUGUUUGUCAUUCCCAUGUCCCUAUAAAUAAAUUGGAGUCUUUUUCCAAAUUCCGAUUUCUGUCCAAUAUUGACUUUGGUGAAAAUGUUUUUCAUAUUAUUUGAAACUUCAUUAAACCUAUAAAGCAGACUUUUUAAAUUUUACUAAGCAUUUAACAUUGGCGAGUUUCUUGUUUAAGAAUUUUAAGGGAUAUCUAAAAAUUAUGAAUGGUUUGUAAGUAAAAGGGUUAGCUGGGCUUUGGUAUUUGAAAACAAUACAUCAUUGUACUGCAAAAUAAGUCAUCACUUUCAAUCUACUGGCAUUACAGUGCUGAUUUGUACUGAAAGGCUGGCAGUCUGAAUGACAAUCAUUCUACCCUGUGUCAUCACGUACUGCUCAUUCGUUUUUCAAUUUGAAUAGUAAAAGUCAAAUGUACAACAUCAUACAUAAAUCAUCUUCCCGAAACCUGCAAAAUAUUUUGCUCUUUAAAGAAAACUUUUUUUUUUUUAAAUAUUAAAAUAAAAUAUCUAUAUCUUGACCAAUG